UAGGGAAUCUUCGGCAAUGGACGAAAGUCUGACCGAGCAACGCCGCGUGAGUGAAGAAGGUUUUCGGAUCGUAAAACUCUGUUGUUAGAGAAGAACAAGGACGUUAGUAACUGAACGUCCCCUGACGGUAUCUAACCAGAAAGCCACGGCUAACUACGUGCCAGCAGCCGCGGUAAUACGUAGGUGGCAAGCGUUGUCCGGAGUUAUUGGGCGUAAAGCGAGCGCAGGCGGUUUCUUAAGUCUGAUGUGAAAGCCCCCGGCUCAACCGGGGAGGGUCAUUGGAAACUGGGAGACUUGACUGCAGAAGAGGAGAGUGGAAUUCCAUGUGUAGCGGUGAAAUGCGUAGAUAUAUGGAGGAACACCAGUGGCGAAGGCGGCUCUCUGGUCUGUAACUGACGCUGAGGCUCGAAAGCGUGGGGAGCAAACAGG
Molecule: ribosomal RNA, 429 nt
Filed under: Gemmatimonadota bacterium
Lineage: Bacteria; Pseudomonadati; Gemmatimonadota
Description: Gemmatimonadetes bacterium partial 16S ribosomal RNA
Rfam family: Bacterial small subunit ribosomal RNA
Source: RNAcentral